UACAGAGGUCUCAAGCGUUGUUCGGAUUCAUUGGGCGUAAAGGGUGUGUAGGUGGCGCCGUAAGUCGGGUGUGAAAUUUCGGAGCUUAACUCCGAAACUGCAUUCGAUACUGCGGUGCUUGAGGACUGGAGAGGAGACUGGAAUUCAUGGUGUAGCAGUGAAAUGCGUAGAGAUCAUGAGGUAGACCAGUGGCGAAGGCGGGUCUCUGGACAGUUCCUGACGCUGAGGCACGAAGGCCAGGGGAGCAAACGGG
Molecule: ribosomal RNA, 253 nt
Filed under: uncultured bacterium
Lineage: Bacteria
Description: partial 16S ribosomal RNA
Rfam family: Bacterial small subunit ribosomal RNA
Source: RNAcentral